This 465-nucleotide ribosomal RNA is filed under the name Salmonella enterica subsp. enterica serovar Telelkebir. RNAcentral describes it as "partial 23S ribosomal RNA". It matches the Rfam family "Bacterial large subunit ribosomal RNA", at positions 889 to 1269 of the family's 2925-position model. The record is from RNAcentral. Lineage: Bacteria; Pseudomonadati; Pseudomonadota; Gammaproteobacteria; Enterobacterales; Enterobacteriaceae.
CUCAUCUCCGGGGGUAGAGCACUGUUUCGGCUAGGGGGCCAUCCCGGCUUACCAACCCGAUGCAAACUGCGAAUACCGGAGAAUGUUAUCACGGGAGACACACGGCGGGUGCUAACGUCCGUCGUGAAGAGGGAAACAACCCAGACCGCCAGCUAAGGUCCCAAAGUCAUGGUUAAGUGGGAAACGAUGUGGGAAGGCCCAGACAGCCAGGAUGUUGGCUUAGAAGCAGCCAUCAUUUAAAGAAAGCGUAAUAGCUCACUGGUCGAGUCGGCCUGCGCGGAAGAUGUAACGGGGCUAAACCAUGCACCGAAGCUGCGGCAGCGAACGUAUCACUUAAAGCGAUUCAGCGGGUUACGAUUGACGGAGCGAAGCGACGUCAAAGCGUAUACAAAGUCGAGUCGGUUUAAGGAUACGUUCGUUGGGUAGGGGAGCGUUCUGUAAGCCUGUGAAGGUGUGUCGUGAGGC